This is a non-coding RNA of Choiromyces venosus 120613-1, 107 nucleotides long. NCBI's taxonomy places the organism in Eukaryota, Fungi, Ascomycota, Pezizomycetes, Pezizales, Tuberaceae. The record is from the annotation of a GenBank genome assembly.
GGCACCGUAGCGUAAUGGCUAACGCAUUGCUUUCCGGUUCCUUCGCAAACAAAAAGAGAUGGAUAACUGCCUGGCAAAGAUUGUGGGUUCGAGUCCCGUCGGUGUCG